Phoenix dactylifera (date palm) is the source of this 3703-nucleotide non-coding RNA. Lineage: Eukaryota; Viridiplantae; Streptophyta; Magnoliopsida; Arecales; Arecaceae. The record is from RefSeq and is a predicted model, not a curated record.
GAGAGGGGGGGUGGGGGGAGGGGGGAGACAACAGAGAGUCGUUUCGGGUUCGGGGGAGAGAGCUUCGAGCUUCCCGUCCUUCGGAUCGCUUCUAUAGAGAGAGCUGGGAGGACUUGGUGAUCGACUGGGCGGCUUCGUUUCCUGAGCCGGCGCCGAUUUCGAGGGUUUCCUCGCUGACAUAGAUCUCAGAUGAUCGCGCUUGCUGCCAGUUUCUCAGCAGCUGAGGCGAAAGAGAAAUCCCGGUUUCCAUUACUAAGAGAGAGAAAAACAUCUCCUUUGGCCUAAAAAUAGGUUCAUCUGGGCGUGGCCUUGACUUCCUUAGAACUUGAAGAAGAGGAGAGAAAGAGAAGGAAAGAGAAGGAGAAGAUCUGAUCGUUUGAUUGAUGCGGGUGGGGGUGGAUCAGAUAUGGACAAGGAAAGAUCUCGGGAUUUGAUGAUGCGAGGCAGAAGCUCGGGGAGUCGUCGGCUCUCGCCCGCAAGGCGACACCCAAUGCGCUCCGCCUCUCCUAUCGUUUAUGAUAAAGGCGAUGGUGGGGAUAAGGGGGGAUAUGGGAGCGUGCCAUCGAGUUGGAAAAAAGAGAAGGUCAGGGUCUCGAGGUCGCGCAACAAUGAGGCAGAAGGCAAGGUGGGUGGUGCUGGGUCGGAGGGGGAGGAGGGGGAUCCUUUUCGUCCGCCACUUACGACCACCACCAACAGCGUGACUGCUCGGAAGAGAGUUAGGCUCCAUGGAAAGACAUCGGAGGAUUGCGAUGCUGUGGAUCCUGCAUCAGUGCCUAGAAAAUUACGGUCAGCUAUAAACAAACGCAGCAACCAAUCGGCAUCUCCACCAUUGCCAGAUACAAAGAAGAAACGCCAUUGUACCUCUAGCGAUGCCCAGCUGCCCUAUAUCGUUGAUGAGAAUAAGUCCGAGCAAAAUACGUUAACUAACUCCAUGACCAAAGAUGAGGAAGAGGUCGCUGAGACUUUGUUUUCAUUGGCCAAUAUGAUGCCUAUUUGCGAGCCAAUUGAGGACAACGAAGAACGAAAAACAUCAGAAGAUAUGUCAAACAUGAAUGCCACCAACGCUUCUCAUUCGGAAGCUUCGAAAGAAGAGGAUACAAAUAAUUCACAGCCAUGUGUUGCUAAUGAAGUGAUAGAUCUUGCUUCAUGUUUAGAGGAACCUGUUAGCGAAACUGCAAAGGGUGAACCUGCUUUGGAGCAUCCUGCCGUCAUCUCAGCAAGGCCAGCUAUUGAGCCAGAACCAAACAAGUCUGCUCAAUCUGAUGUUCAUGCAACUCUUCUUUUGUCUAAAAUUGAUCAUGCGGAGAGCCCAUCUUCUUCGAUGAAUGCUGCUAAUUCAUUAAAAUCUUUUGGAGCUUCAUCUCAGUAUUACUCUGGAAAUGGAUCGCUUCAACCAACACAACAUGAUGCCCUUCCAGCUCUUCCUACGCAAAAACCAGAUAUCGUGCUUUGGCCAUUUGGAUCCACUGGAUCUGCUGCAGUGAAACAUGAAGUGCAGGCAGAUGAGCAGAGAAUGGACACUGGUACAAAUGUUGGGCAUCGGGAAGAAAUUGAUCCUUCGGUGCGUCCUGGUUUGCUUAGUGUUACACAAGCACCUUUGACAAUGUUGCCUCCAAGUAAAACUGCAGCUUGGCCAGGAUCUGCUACUAGUACUGUUGGACUUAAUUCAUCUGGAAAUGGUAUUCCAACUGAAAAGCAUCCGGCAAUGCAUCUUAAUGUGUUGUCGUUACGGAAGAAGUGCACUGCUCAUGUGUACUUAACCCAUCUCAUCCGGCACCAUCAGAACAUGGAGAGGGAGAGCUCGCUGUCAAAAUCCAAGGAGGGAUCAAAUAUGGGUGCACCAGCAGCAGCCAACAAGACAGCUGGGCUAAGAAAUGGGCUGAUGAACUGCAUGGCUUCUGCUGGAACCAACGGUUUCUUGAUGGAGACGAAUGCACGCGAAGCCAGAAUUCAAAUGUUACGUAGUGAAAAGCUUCUCCAAGCUCAGCAGGCUUCCACAUCAUCUGAAACCUAUGCUCCACAGAAGCAGACUGGUGAUUUCCUAUCCUUGUCGGCUGGUGGCGAAACUAGUAAUUCUGGAAAUCGGGUCGAGUUAUCCGGGCAGCCUCAUUUUCCUUUCAUGCAUCCACAGGCCCCACACCAUUCUGUCAUGCCCUUAGGUUUCCCUCAUGUUCCUCACAUGACACCUUAUCCAGAAAAGCUAUCAUCUGCAGCUGCUCAACAGUUGCAGUUGCAGGUACCGCAGUACAUGGGCAGCACAUUCUAUGGGCCACAGAUGGUCCAUGCAGGAGGCACGAGGCCACCACAGCAACAACAUCAGCAGCCGAUGUGGCCCACCUAUUUGGCCCACUAUAGGCCCCCAAUGGGUGUCCCAGUGUGGCAGAAUGGGAGGCUGCAUGGCAUGUCCCGUCAGCUUCGCCUCUGUCCUCCGGCUUCAGCACCAAUCUCUCCUUCCCCUGCUGUAGAGGCGCAUGCUGGAGCCCAUCACCCACUCAACCCACCACAACAGCACCACCUUCAUGCUAAUCCCUCGUCGUCGUCGUCGUCAUCUAGGACAAGGCAUCAUCACCUCAAUGGUCUCCUGAAUAAUGGCGGAUUCCGUCUCGAAGUUACAUCACCGUUGCAGCUGCUUUGCAAUGCGCAACGCUCCUGAAAACCUGGAUGAUAAGAUGGAUGAGGCUGGUCUGUCACAUGUGUUCGUCUCUGGAUCAUACUUGUUGCUGCAUUCUCACCACCAUUUCGGCGGCCUGAAGAUGGUCAUUCUAUGGAUCUGGCUGCUCGAGAUAAUUGCGGACGACUCAGGUUCUAUUGGAUAAAUAAGACAGGUAAGUAGAACAAUCUUCGGAUCCUCUUUCAGCAUGUUGAGAUGCAGUGUGAUGAUGUGCCAUGGCAACAAGGCUGAAAGCUGUGGACAGUUAGAUAUCUUGGUCAAUGGCUGUAGUUGUUGGAGUUCAUUGCGCUUCCUGAACUCCCAUUGUCCUUAUAGCAGUCCGAGUCUUGCUUCCCUAUAAUGGUGAAGCAAGAGGUUGAACUUCUAUAGUUUCAUAUAAACCCGAACUACCCUUGUGCCAUGGGAACCUGGAGGCCAUUGGUGCUGCUGUUUUAUUUUCCAGCAGAGCCGGGCGCUGUUCAUUGGGUAGCGUAGAUAAAAACACUCCAGAGAUGUGCCCCCUUCCAUCAGAGAAGAAAAGAGGUUGUUCACCGGGUAGGGAAGAUGAAACACUCCAGAGAUAAGCCCCUUGCAUCAGAUGGUGUUUAUAUGCCGGUGACAAUCGAGUGCAAAUUGUUUUGUUGUUUAGAAAUGCAGUGCUUCUUCACUAGUAAUAAGAGGAAAGAAAGACAAAAUACAAAGCAAGUCCAGAAUGUAAUAUAGAUAAUGGUGUUCACCGGCCAAAAGCAGUCUUGUUUGAGAUUAUUAAAUAUCCCCACAGCAGUUCAGUUGGAAUUAAUCCAGUGGUUCUUUCAGGCACCAACACAUUUUGUGUGUGAGAGAGAGAAUGAGAGAGAGAGAGAGAGAGCACUUCAUAAAGGUUGGACAACUGAAUACAGAUAAAUAUGAAACACAAAGUACCACGUCAAGAAUUAGACGGCUUUGUUCAUGCAUUUUAUGGCUCUAUACCAGCAACAAAAGUGAUAAUACAUGCAAAGAAGAAAUCAAGGCAACGUUGACUGAUACAGCUUUCGUGAUAACAUUCAGGCGAGG